ACGGCCAUACCUAGGCGAAAACACCAGUUCCCGUCCGAUCACUGCAGUUAAGCGUCUGAGGGUUUCGUUAGUACUAUGGUUGGAGACAACAUGGGAAUCCGGAAUGCUGUAGGCU
Molecule: ribosomal RNA, 115 nt
Filed under: Schizosaccharomyces osmophilus
Lineage: Eukaryota; Fungi; Ascomycota; Schizosaccharomycetes; Schizosaccharomycetales; Schizosaccharomycetaceae
Source: RNAcentral